Molecule: ribosomal RNA, 408 nt
Filed under: uncultured eukaryote
Lineage: Eukaryota
Description: SSU rRNA
Rfam family: Eukaryotic small subunit ribosomal RNA
Source: RNAcentral
CAAUAGCGUAUAUUAAAGUUGUUGCAGUUAAAAAGCUCGUAGUUGAAUUUCUAGUUAGUUGCUAUUCGGUCUCCAGAUCAGUAGCAGUUAGCUAUCCGACACUGAACUAUGACGGUUAUUAAGUUAACCCCAUAGCGAAUUGUCAUUUUACUUUGAAAAAUUAGAGUGUUUCAGGCAGGCAAUUGCCCGAAUAUCUUAGCAUGGAAUAAUGGAAUAGGACUUUGGUUCAUUUGAUUGGUUAUUGAAUCAGAGUAAUGAUUAAUAGGGACAGUUGGGGGCAUUAGUAUUUAAUUGUCAGAGGUGAAAUUCUUGGAUUUAUUAAAGACUAACUUAUGCGAAAGCAUUUGCCAAGGAUGUUUUCAUUAAUCAAGAACGAAAGUUAGGGGAUCAAAGACGAUUAGAUACCAU